AGGAGUAUAAUUAAGGCUACCACUCACAAGUCUUUGAAAUAGAGAAAAUGAAAUCAAUUUACAAAAGAAGUCAUUUCACAAUUUGGAACCAAUUUAACUACUCAUCUACCCCUUGUAAUUCCUCUCAAUGUUCCCUCAAAUGCAUGUACAAAAUAAUCAAGCAUAGAGAAUCAAGAUUAUAGAGGAAUCUACUACAAUAUUAAUCAAUAUGCUCAAGUGGAAUCAAUUCACACUUGGCGACAUUCAUGAAAAUGAAUUAAGGAUGCUCAUGGUGCAAAGUACAUGACUCCCACUCACCUGUCAAUCUGGCACAGCCCUGAUACG
Molecule: long non-coding RNA, 324 nt
Filed under: Phoenix dactylifera (date palm)
Lineage: Eukaryota; Viridiplantae; Streptophyta; Magnoliopsida; Arecales; Arecaceae
Description: long non-coding RNA (PDAC_LNC022821)
Source: RNAcentral